This 402-nucleotide ribosomal RNA is filed under the name uncultured prokaryote. Its description in RNAcentral is "bacterial SSU rRNA". It matches the Rfam family "Bacterial small subunit ribosomal RNA", at positions 355 to 774 of the family's 1533-position model. The record is from RNAcentral.
UGGGGAAUAUUGCGCAAUGGGGGAAACCCUGACGCAGCAACGCCGCGUGGGUGAUGAAGGUCUUCGGAUUGUAAAACCCUGUCUUUGGGGACGAUAAUGACGGUACCCAAGGAGGAAGCCACGGCUAACUACGUGCCAGCAGCCGCGGUAAUACGUAGGUGGCGAGCGUUGUCCGGAAUUACUGGGCGUAAAGAGUAUGUAGGCGGAUGCCUAAGUCAGAUGUGAAAUUCCCGGGCUUAACCUGGGCGCUGCAUUUGAAACUGGGCAUCUAGAGUGCAGGAGAGGAAAGUGGAAUUCCUAGUGUAGCGGUGAAAUGCGUAGAGAUUAGGAAGAACACCAGUGGCGAAGGCGACUUUCUGGACUGUAACUGACGCUGAGAUACGAAAGCGUGGGGAGCAAACA